Molecule: long non-coding RNA, 2265 nt
Organism: Olea europaea var. sylvestris
Lineage: Eukaryota; Viridiplantae; Streptophyta; Magnoliopsida; Lamiales; Oleaceae
Exons: 2
Source: RefSeq, a predicted model, not a curated record
UGUCAUCUUAGGGGAAUUAAAAAACACGCCAAUCAGAUCAAUAGGGCGGCUGUGGGAGGAAUUGAAAGAAAAUUGCAGCUGCCUUUAUAUAUUUCACAUGCCAACUUGGAGGAAAAACAUUUUUGGAGGCUUUUGCUGAAUUUAAAAGUAUACAUACACAUUCCGUACACCGGCAGACAGGAUUGGAAAAGGAAAAAGAGCUGUUGUGUUUUAUGAUAUAUAGACAAAAAGGCAGCUGGAUUUGGAAAGAAGUUGAAGAAAAUUAUACUAAAUAAAAAUCGCAACAUUGUGGGGAGUCAUAUACACGGUGUUGGCAGCUGCAAUAUACAAGGAAAAGGAGGGGGAUUUGAUUCUAAAUUGGAGACUGCAAAAAAAGGGGCAGCUUGCUGGGGAAUUUGUUUACAAACCAAUUGGGGGAAAAACAUGUCUACCUAGACAAGCCACGCACGCGCAAAAGUGGAGAAAAUUUGUGGAGUUAAUCACGUUCCGUCAAUUUCUCGAUGAGCAGCUAGUUAGGGAAUUGGAUACCAACUAUAAGGACUCCGAUGAGUUGCAAAGCAUUGAUAGUAAAGGAAGGAUGAUACAACUUCAAGAAAAAGAGCUUCAACUGAUGCUUUCGAUACAAGGACUGAUGUGAAGGACCUAAUGUUCAAAAAUGGUAACUUCAACACAUUAUUUACCUUACUUUAAACUAUUCUUUAUGGAUGAUUGAUAUGAUUCCAUUUUCUAAUUGUUAUGGUUAAUAUUUAAGUCCAUGUCAAUGUUAAGGCUACCAUCACUACACAUUCAGUUAGAAACAAUAGGGUGAUCAAAUAAUGAUGCAUUGAGAUUGAGAGCCGAACGUAAUGAAAAGUGUCCAUGUGUAUUUUAUACUACCAAUGAGCAUAAGAAGACAAAUUGGGUGAUCAAAACAUAUGUAGAAGAGCAUAUUUGCCCUGUGGUGUAUAAGAAUUUUUGAGUGAGCUCGACUUAUUUGACAAAUAGAUAUUUAUCUGACUGGAGGUCUGAACUAAAAUGUUGGUAAGCACAUUCACAAAGAGGGUUAAAAGGGAUGGUUUAGGUCAUAAUUCACAUUGGCGAGCGAAUGUAUAGAACAAAGGAGAAAUCACUUGAAAAGAAUUAGCUUGAAGAUAACUUUAGUGUCUCACACAAGAGAUUAGUUUUGAAGCGUUGUCUUCAAGAUGCGGCCAAAGCCACUGUGCUACUGUAGCUUGAACACAUGCAAAAGAUGUUGAACUUGGACCCAGAUGUGUCUGGUUGGCUUGAACCAAAAACAGCAUCCUAUUGGAAAAAAUCCCAUUCAAAGAGUAAGCACAGUGUAACAUGCUUUUGUACAAUUUUUGUGAAUCAUUCAAUAGCACAAUUGUCAAUGCAAGAGAAAAGCUCAUUCUAACUAUGCUUGAGGAGAUUAGGGUAUAUUUCAUGAAGAAAAUUAUAGCCCGCAGAGAGUUAGCUGAUAGAUGGACAGGAUUACGGCCAUAAAAUCCAAAAGAUUCUCGACAAAAAUAGUAAGUUGGCAAGAUUUGAGUGAGCUGAAAAUUUGAUAUAAUACAAGCAUUGUACUACAUGUUGUUGACCUCAAGGCAAGAACUUGUACAUGUCGUGCUUAGCAAUUAUUAAGAAUCACUUGUUGCCAUGUGAUUAUCUCAGUGGUAUUUAAAGGCCUUAGUGUAAUUGAUGUAACUAUCAUGUACAAAAAUGAGUCUUACCUCAUGACAUAUAUGCCAUCAAUUUUUCCCAUGAUUGGUCCAGACUCAUGGCCUAGUCCAGAUGUCAACCCUCCAAGUCCACCUAUGUACGCCAAAAAGUCUGGGAGGCCAAAAAAGAGCAGGCAAAAAGAGCCAAAUGAGGUGCAGUCUUCAAGUCAGGCGAAGAAGUCCAAAAAGUCUUUGCAAAAUGAAAGCCCCUCAAAAAGCAGGGAAGAGAGGAUGAUGACUCAGACAUGUCGAAAAUGUGGUGAACUAGGGCACAAUAGGAGCUACUACAGAUGGAUACCACCACCAGCACCUAAUUAGUGACUUAAUUUAUUUAUUUAUUGGUUUUUGUUGAAUGCACUUGUAGAGAGUUGGAGGUUAGGCUAAAUUGUAAAUUUCUUUUGUUGAUGUGUCUAAAUGAUUGAUAGUAUAAGAGUCAAAAUGUUGUGUAUGACCUUACAUAACCUUUUCGUUGUUGCUAAAAGUCUUCAUUAUGCUUAUUUUAGAUACAAAUUUGGUUGUGACUCUUAAUUCUGUUGCUAAGUUUUUUGUUCAGUAUGUUGAAACACUA